RNAcentral lists this ribosomal RNA (252 nucleotides) under uncultured bacterium. Its description in RNAcentral is "partial 16S ribosomal RNA". It matches the Rfam family "Bacterial small subunit ribosomal RNA", at positions 524 to 775 of the family's 1533-position model. The record is from RNAcentral.
UACGAAGGGGGCUAGCGUUGCUCGGAAUCACUGGGCGUAAAGGGUGCGUAGGCGGGUCUUUAAGUCAGGGGUGAAAUCCUGGAGCUCAACUCCAGAACUGCCUUUGAUACUGAAGAUCUUGAGUUCGGGAGAGGUGAGUGGAACUGCGAGUGUAGAGGUGAAAUUCGUAGAUAUUCGCAAGAACACCAAUGGCGAAGGCAGCUCGCUGGGACGGUACUGACGCUGAGACGCGAAAGCGUGGGGAGCAAACAG